This 1477-nucleotide ribosomal RNA is filed under the name uncultured bacterium. RNAcentral's name for it is "bacterial SSU rRNA". It matches the Rfam family "Bacterial small subunit ribosomal RNA". The record is from RNAcentral.
GAUUGAACGCUGGCGGCAGGCCUAACACAUGCAAGUCGAGCGGUAGCACAGAGAGCUUGCUCUCGGGUGACGAGCGGCGGACGGGUGAGUAAUGUCUGGGAAACUGCCUGAUGGAGGGGGAUAACUACUGGAAACGGUAGCUAAUACCGCAUAAUGUCGCAAGACCAAAGUGGGGGACCUUCGGGCCUCAUGCCAUCAGAUGUGCCCAGAUGGGAUUAGCUAGUAGGUGGGGUAACGGCUCACCUAGGCGACGAUCCCUAGCUGGUCUGAGAGGAUGACCAGCCACACUGGAACUGAGACACGGUCCAGACUCCUACGGGAGGCAGCAGUGGGGAAUAUUGCACAAUGGGCGCAAGCCUGAUGCAGCCAUGCCGCGUGUGUGUAGAAGGCCUUCGGGUUGUAAAGCACUUUCAGCGGGGAGGAAGGCGGUGAGGUUAAUAACCUCAUCGAUUGACGUUACCCGCAGAAGAAGCACCGGCUAACUCCGUGCCAGCAGCCGCGGUAAUACGGAGGGUGCAAGCGUUAAUCGGAAUUACUGGGCGUAAAGCGCACGCAGGCGGUCUGUCAAGUCGGAUGUGAAAUCCCCGGGCUUAACCUGGGAACUGCAUUCGAAACUGGCAGGCUAGAGUCUUGUAGAGGGGGGUAGAAUUCCAGGUGUAGCGGUGAAAUGCGUAGAGAUCUGGAGGAAUACCGGUGGCGAAGGCGGCCCCCUGGACAAAGACUGACGCUCAGGUGCGAAAGCGUGGGGAGCAAACAGGAUUAGAUACCCUGGUAGUCCACGCCGUAAACGAUGUCGAUUUGGAGGUUGUGCCCUUGAGGCGUGGCUUCCGGAGCUAACGCGUUAAAUCGACCGCCUGGGGAGUACGGCCGCAAGGUUAAAACUCAAAUGAAUUGACGGGGGCCCGCACAAGCGGUGGAGCAUGUGGUUUAAUUCGAUGCAACGCGAAGAACCUUACCUGGUCUUGACAUCCACAGAACUUUCCAGAGAUGGAUUGGUGCCUUCGGGAACUGUGAGACAGGUGCUGCAUGGCUGUCGUCAGCUCGUGUUGUGAAAUGUUGGGUUAAGUCCCGCAACGAGCGCAACCCUUAUCCUUUGUUGCCAGCGGUCCGGCCGGGAACUCAAAGGAGACUGCCAGUGAUAAACUGGAGGAAGGUGGGGAUGACGUCAAGUCAUCAUGGCCCUUACGACCAGGGCUACACACGUGCUACAAUGGCAUAUACAAAGAGAAGCGACCUCGCGAGAGCAAGCGGACCUCAUAAAGUAUGUCGUAGUCCGGAUUGGAGUCUGCAACUCGACUCCAUGAAGUCGGAAUCGCUAGUAAUCGUAGAUCAGAAUGCUACGGUGAAUACGUUCCCGGGCCUUGUACACACCGCCCGUCACACCAUGGGAGUGGGUUGCAAAAGAAGUAGGUAGCUUAACCUUCGGGAGGGCGCUUACCACUUUGUGAUUCAUGACUGGGGUGAAGUCGUAACAAGG